CCUACGGGUGGCAGCAGUGGGGAAUAUUGCACAAUGGGGGAAACCCUGAUGCAGCGACGCCGCGUGAGUGAAGAAGUAUUUCGGUAUGUAAAGCUCUAUCAGCAGGGAAGAAGCAAGACGGUACCUGACUAUGAAGCCCCGGCUAACUACGUACAAGCAGCCGCGGUAAUACGGAGGAUGCGAGCGUUAUCCGGAUUUAUUGGGUUUAAGGGGUUCGCAGGCGGCCUGUUAAGUCAGCGGUAAAAGCCCGGGGGUCAACCCCGGCGAGCCGUUGAAACUGGCGGGCUGGAGUGGGAGAGAGGUACGCGGAAUGCGCGGUGUAGCGGUGAAAUGCGUAGAUAUCGCGCAGAACCCCGAUUGCGAAGGCAGCGUACCGGCUCCACACUGACGCUGAGGCACGAAAGCGUGGGUAUCGAACAGGAUUAGAUACCCUUGUAGUC
Molecule: ribosomal RNA, 440 nt
Filed under: uncultured bacterium
Lineage: Bacteria
Description: partial 16S ribosomal RNA
Rfam family: Bacterial small subunit ribosomal RNA
Source: RNAcentral